RNAcentral lists this long non-coding RNA (1097 nucleotides) under Zonotrichia albicollis (white-throated sparrow). RNAcentral describes it as "lncRNA (ENSZALG00000001481.1)". The record is from RNAcentral. Lineage: Eukaryota; Metazoa; Chordata; Aves; Passeriformes; Passerellidae.
AAAUUCCAAGAUUUUCUUGCCUGAAUUCCAGGAAUUUUUCAGCAAGAAUUCCAGUAGUUUUAGCCUUCAAUUCCAUGAAUUUGAUAGCAAGAAUUCCAUUUUUUUCCUGCCUCAAUUCUGGGAUUUUUCUACCUAAAUUCUGGGAUUUUUCUACCUAAAUUCCUGCAUUUUUCUGCCUAAAAAUCUGGGAUUUUUCCACAAAAAAAUCGGAAUUUUCCCCCAUAAAUUCCAGGAUUUUUUCAUCAAAAUGCUGGGAUUUUUUGACCUGGGAAUGUUUGAAAAUUUUGGGAUUUUUUUUCUGCCUAAAUUCCAGGAUUUUUCCUCGAAAAUUCCAGGAUUUUCCCACCUAAAUUCUGGGAUUUUUCUGCCUGAAUUCCAUGAAUUUUCUGGCAUAAAUUCCAUUAGUUUUUCAUGCAAAUUCUGGGAUUUUUCUACCGUAAUUCCAGGAUUUUCCUGUCCAACUUCUGGGAUUUUUCAUGUGUAAAUUCCAUUCUUUUACCCCAUAAAUUCCAUUAUUUUAUCCCAUAAAUUCCAUUAUUUUACCCCCAAAAAUUCUGGGAUUUUUUCCACCAUAAUUCCAGGAUUUUCCCAUAUAAAUCUAGGGAUUUUUCUACCUAAAUUCUUGGAAUUUUACACCUAAAAUCGGGGAUUUUUCCCACCAAAAUUCCAGGAUUUUUCCAUGUAAAUCUUGCGUUUUUUCUCCCUAAAUCCUUUGAAUUUUACACCAAAAAUUCAGAAUUUUCCCACCAAAAUUCCAGGACUUUUCCAUGCGAAUCGUGGGAUUUUUCUACCUAAAAUCGGGGAUUUUGCCCACCAAAAAUUCGGAUUUUUCCCACCAAAAUUCCAGGAUUUUUCCUACUAUAAUCCCUUAAAUGUUAGGCCAGAAUUCCAUGAUUUUCCCACCAGAAUUCCAAGAUUUUUGGCCCAGAAUUCCCGGAUUUUUUUGGGAAUUCUCACUUGUAGAGCAGGUGCACCCGGCUCCCAUCACAGUUGGCCCGGCCCAACUUUUCCGCCUGCUCCGACACCAGGCAGCGAACGAGGCUGGGCUGGGAAAAUCCCUGGGAAAUCUGGGAAUGUUGGGAAAUCUGGGAAUGUUG